RNAcentral lists this ribosomal RNA (427 nucleotides) under uncultured bacterium. RNAcentral's name for it is "partial 16S ribosomal RNA". It matches the Rfam family "Bacterial small subunit ribosomal RNA", at positions 355 to 774 of the family's 1533-position model. The record is from RNAcentral.
UGGGGAAUAUUGCACAAUGGGCGCAAGCCUGAUGCAGCCAUGCCGCGUGUAUGAAGAAGGCCUUCGGGUUGUAAAGUACUUUCAGCGGGGAGGAAGGCGAUAAGGUUAAUAACCUUGUCGAUUGACGUUACCCGCAGAAGAAGCACCGGCUAACUCCGUGCCAGCAGCCGCGGUAAUACGGAGGGUGCAAGCGUUAAUCGGAAUUACUGGGCGUAAAGCGCACGCAGGCGGUCUGUCAAGUCGGAUGUGAAAUCCCCGGGCUCAACCUGGGAACUGCAUUCGAAACUGGCAGGCUAGAGUCUUGUAGAGGGGGGUAGAAUUCCAGGUGUAGCGGUGAAAUGCGUAGAGAUCUGGAGGAAUACAGGUGGCGAAGGCGGCCCCCUGGACAAAGACUGACGCUCAGGUGCGAAAGCGUGGGGAGCAAACA